Molecule: ribosomal RNA, 460 nt
Filed under: uncultured bacterium
Lineage: Bacteria
Description: partial 16S ribosomal RNA
Rfam family: Bacterial small subunit ribosomal RNA
Source: RNAcentral
CCUACGGGUGGCAGCAGUGAGGAAUAUUGGUCAAUGGACGAGAGUCUGAACCAGCCAAGUAGCGUGAAGGAUGACUGCCCUAUGGGUUGUAAACUUCUUUUAUAUAGGAAUAAAACGAGGUAUGUGUGCCUUUUUGUAUGUACUUUAUGAAUAAGGAUCGGCUAACUCCGUGCCAGCAGCCGCGGUAAUACGGAGGAUCCGAGCGUUAUCCGGAUUUAUUGGGUUUAAAGGGAGCGUAGAUGGGUUGUUAAGUCAGUUGUGAAAGUUUGCGGCUCAACCGUAAAAUUGCAAUUGAUACUGGCAGUCUUGAGUACAGUAGAGGUAGGCGGAAUUCGUGGUGUAGCGGUGAAAUGCUUAGAUAUCACGAAGAACCCCGAUUGCGAAGGCAGCUUACUAAACUGUGACUGACAUUGAUGCUCGAAAGUGUGGGUAUCAAACAGGAUUAGAUACCCCUGUAGUC